This 394-nucleotide ribosomal RNA is filed under the name Lecanora impudens. RNAcentral describes it as "SSU rRNA". It matches the Rfam family "Bacterial small subunit ribosomal RNA", at positions 805 to 1218 of the family's 1533-position model. The record is from RNAcentral. Lineage: Eukaryota; Fungi; Ascomycota; Lecanoromycetes; Lecanorales; Lecanoraceae.
AAUGAUGAAUGUCAUAGAUUAGACACAUAAUAGUUUAUUCUAUAAAUGAAAAUGUAAGCAUUCCACCUCAAGAGUAAUUUGGCAACAUUGGAACUGAAAUCAUUAGACCGUUUCUGAAACCAGUAGUGAAGUAUGUUGUUUAAUUUGAUAAUCCGCAAAAAACCUUACCACAAUUUGAAUAUUUAUAUUAUCUUUCUGAUCUAUUACAUGAAAGGAAAAAAUAUAUUUACAAGCGUUGCACGGCUGUCUUCAGUUAAUGUCGUGAGAUUUUGGUUAGUUCCAUUAAAUUAACGUAAACCCUUACUUUAUUUUUAUAUAAAGUAGUUCCCCACUAGAUUGGAUAAGAUAACAGGGACUAAGACAAGUCAUCAUGGCCUAAAUAUUGUGGGCUAUA